GAUGAACGCUGGCGGCGUGCUUAACACAUGCAAGUCGAACGAUGAAGCUCAGCUUGCUGGGUGGAUUAGUGGCGAACGGGUGAGUAACACGUGAGUAACCUGCCCUUAACUCUGGGAUAAGCCUGGGCAACUAGGUCUAAUACCGGAUAGGAGCGCCUACCGCAUGGUGGGUGUUGGAGAGAUUUAUCGGUUUUGGAUGGACUCGCGGCCUAUCCGCUUGUUGGUGGGGUAAUGGCUCACGAAGGCGACGACGGGUAGCCGGCCUGAGAGGGUGACCGGCCACACUGGGACUGAGACAGGGCCCAGACGCCUACGGGAGGCAGCAGUGGGGAAUAUUGCACAAUGGGCGAAAGCCUGAUGCAGCGACGCCGCGUGAGGGAUGAAGGCCUUCGGGUUGUAAACCUCUUUCAGUAGGGAAGAAGCGAAAGUGACGGUACCUGCAGAAGAAGCACCGGCUAACUACGUG
RNAcentral lists this ribosomal RNA (466 nucleotides) under uncultured bacterium. RNAcentral describes it as "partial 16S ribosomal RNA". It matches the Rfam family "Bacterial small subunit ribosomal RNA", at positions 28 to 507 of the family's 1533-position model. The record is from RNAcentral.